RNAcentral lists this long non-coding RNA (358 nucleotides) under Vulpes vulpes (red fox). RNAcentral's name for it is "lncRNA (ENSVVUG00000019806.1)". The record is from RNAcentral. Lineage: Eukaryota; Metazoa; Chordata; Mammalia; Carnivora; Canidae.
UAACAUACAGAGACUGGAGGGCUGCAGGGGGUCUCCACUGUGGCCACUGAAAGAAAAAAACAAAACCCAAACCAAAAAACAUAAAAACAAAAGGAAAAUUCUAGAAAUAGGAUCAGCUGAACCUGGGAGACCAUAAAGCCUGUGGCCCAGAAGAAGCUGGGUUCAGGGUGCAAACAUAGAAGAAAUGCAAGACAGCAUGGAACUCAAUUUAAGAUAUGGGUCUACUGCUUGGACCGAAGUAGCAAUUGGAUUAAAAAAGAGAAGGAGAAAAUGAAACUUGAGAUAGGUAAAUGUAGUCAUCCCAGACUUAGAUAAAGAGGGCCAAACAUAGAUGGGUAUAUUAGAAGUUGGAAUUGGA